This is a long non-coding RNA of Numida meleagris (helmeted guineafowl), 3034 nucleotides long. RefSeq lists it as uncharacterized. The record is from RefSeq and is a predicted model, not a curated record. The transcript has 3 exons. NCBI's taxonomy places the organism in Eukaryota, Metazoa, Chordata, Aves, Galliformes, Numididae.
GAUCGGGUGGGGGGCAACCAGCCCAUGGUCCUGAAGCACAUGCAGUUCUUGAUAGAAAGAAAGAUCCUUGGAUCCAAGAGCCUGACAUUCAUCCCAUCAGGAUUAUCCCCUGGUCAAAGCAAACUUAAAUUCUGUUGGCUUUUUGCCUGCUGGAUUUGAUUAUGUAUAGGAAGUUAGUCAAGGAUUCUCAUAAAUCUUGACCACAGCAGAGCUUCUGUUCUCUGUUCCCAGCAAGCAGGAGGAGAUGGAGGAGGACAUCUCAGGGCUUGGUGCUACCUGCUGGAUUUGUCCCCCUGGCCCAUGCAGGAGUGGUGUAGGCUGGCAGCAAGCUUCACUCAUGGGAAGAGGGACACCCUAACCCACAUUGUGCACUCUACUGGGAGCUGGAAUGUUUAUGACUGCACACAUGCAGAUAUCUGCUCAGCAGAUGAGCAUUUUGCCCACCUUUGGAGCGCCUUGCCCUGCAAACCACUGCAGGAGAGCUGGCAUGCUGGGAGACCUGGUGGCAUCCUGUGUAAGAUGCUUUGGUAGCUUUUAGCAAAAGAUGUUGAGGCAGCGUGCAAGUGAUUCAUAGUUGGGGUUUUCUCUUCCUUUUUGCUGUGUGAAGCUGCAGAGGUGUUUUCUCCCUACUGCCCACCUUGUCCUCAGCCACCCCUAAGAAAUCUCUACAUGGGGCCCAUGUGAUGACUCAGCCCCCUCAGGAGACCCGGGGGUAUUUCCCCCACCUUCCCAUCAGUGAUUUCUCUGGUGAGAAAGUCCUCCAAGGCUGUGCCUCGGCUCUUGCGGCUCACCAGAAUGCAAAGGUCAUGUCCUGCUGGGUGUGAUCAAGCCAGCGCGCUUGUUCAUCGUUAUUUUGAUCAAGCAGAGACCUGAAACAAGAUGACUUGUCUUUUUCUUUCAUUAUUUGCCCAAUGAAAAAUGUUCACAGCUUAGCUGCUAUCUAAGCAUUCCUAAGAACAAGGGUAGAAGGGAAGCAUGGCCGCUGUUAUGAUCUCUGUGCACCAUGCACAGGGGCUGGGUGGGGAUUUUAUAGGCAGUGACCCCAGCUGGCUCCGGGGCCUCCUCACUAGGCUGCCUGUGCAUCCUUUGCCAGUGCUACAGGGCUCCUUUCUGCUUGUGAGAUGGAAGCUGUGUCAGUUUGAGUCCUGAUCCUAGACAAAGCAGGUGUCACAGGCUAUGCUGUAGCCGUUGGCUGUAGCAUUCGCCAGCAGGAAAGGGCAUGGUAUAGAUUGUUAGUGGUACAUCACCGGGACCCAGAUGGGUCUUAGAGCUGUCUUGCUCCUCUUGGUGCCUGUGUUCUUCAACUAGCCUUGAGCUGAGUUUCUCCUCGCUGCUUUGAAUACUGUCUUGCUAAUGCAGGUCCCAUCCCAGCUGUGCUGCCAGUGCCCUUCCUUUUACUUCUUUAGUAACAUGUUCUGAUGUUUUUUUCCCCUUUUGUUUUCUUCACAGAUUUAUCUGGAAAGUAUGAGCAGCGAGAGAAGCUUAAUCACCAUUAGAUAAGUAUUACAGAUGACUCAUGCUAGAAUACUGAUAGCUGUGCAGCUGACAUGAAUAUGUUCGCAUCAAGAGCCAGGAACCUUAACCCACCCUGUGCUUUCCCACUAACAUGUUUUGGUUCUCUAGCACCUUUUACCCCCCGAUUUGUCCACCUGAACAGCUCACAGAAGUGUUUUUGCCUCCUUGAGGGGUUACAGGGUACAUGUCACUUGAAACCAAAUUGAAAGAUGUCAUCUUAAAAUGAGAGCUGCUGAUGAAUGGCUUCAGUCUUGUAGGUAUUCUCCAGGACAACCUGCAGUUUGUCUUUUUAAUAGAGGCAGUUAAUGGCUUUCCUCGAUUCUUUGUGUUUUUCUUCUGUUUUCUUUCCAGAGCCAUUGACUGCUUUUCCAGCAGAACAGCCCCAAGAAUCCAGAACAGGUAAGACAGCUGCUGCUUUGGGGUGCUCAUGUGACUCACUAAAGACAAAAUGCUGGCUGCAGUGUAGGCAGCAGAAAAAAAAAAAAACAUUGGCUUGACUGUGGUAAGAAUGGCAUCCGCCAUGCUUGGACCCAUCAGAGCACAGGGAGUGGGGCAGAAUGAGCAGACUUCCAGGAGGCAUGGUCCUGGGCCCCCUACUCUGAGUGUCCCUGCUUGAGCAGAGGUCAGACCAGAAGGAACCACAGGUCCCUGCCAACUUCACCCAUUCUGCGAUUCUGUGGAGGUAGCACAUGGCAGGAGCUACUGGGGAGGUGUCAGUCCCUGUCUCCAUUAGCUGGAGGUGGGUAGACAACUUGGAGGGGUGCAAAGAGAAGUCAAAAGGAGACAUUUGGAUGAGGAGUGCUGCAGAGAGGGAUGUGCCUCUGAUGGCAAAGUGAGCAAGGCUCUGCGUCAACUCCUGUAUUCAUGGCUCAGCCUGCUGAAGAAGCUCAUUUUCCAUGAGGAUGCUGGGCCGUGACCCUGCGCAGCCCAUACAAGCAAAGUGUUCCCUUGUGCCAUCAGCAAGCUGAGACCGGAGCUGCAGCAAAGUCAUGAUAGCGCAUCAGGUGCUGCAAUUGUUUUCACAGUGACAGAGAAUAGGAGCACACUGUGUAGAGAAAUCUUGCUUGAGGAUCUGUCCCGAUGACAUGACUCUGAUGCUUCCCUACACUGAUUGCAAGCACUGAUGCAGGAUCCACAUUUCAAGGUUUUCGAACUAUGGAAGCUCUCUGGAGGAGCUGCACCAUGCGCUGCCGACCCCAGAGUGGGGAGGGAGGAGGAGCUGCGGUGUACCUUUGCAUGGAGGACUUGUGGAAAAACAUUGAUAUGAUUGAGACAGCCAUACUGUUGUGGUGAGAGGUGAGCAGAUGCCACUAUCAGAAAACACAUUUAAAGUUUUGUCUAGCACUUUUAUUUUUCAUUCUUCCUGCCUACCCUGCUUCAGUUUUCCAGGUUAAACUCGUGCAUGAAGGACAUGUCUUAUUAUUUUGGGUAUUCUGUGUUCUUCAUUGUUAUUUAGAUACAUAACUUGCAGAAUAUUGCUUCUAGCAGGGCAGUUCCUCUUCAGCGAGAUGUUAAUGAG